Rattus norvegicus (Norway rat) is the source of this 159-nucleotide small nuclear RNA. Ensembl annotates it as U1 spliceosomal RNA. The record is from Ensembl. NCBI's taxonomy places the organism in Eukaryota, Metazoa, Chordata, Mammalia, Rodentia, Muridae.
AAGCUUGCCCAAAGGGGGAGACACUAUGAUCACGCAGGUGUUUUUCCUGGGGUGAGGCUUCUCCACUGCACUCCACAUGUGCUGACCCUUAUGAUUGUCCUAAAUUAGGAAAAUGGCAUAAUUGGUGGUAGUGGAAGGCUGUGUUCCCACCUCCCCCCU